CGCGUAGGUGGUUUGUUAAGUUGGAUGUGAAAGCCCCGGGCUCAACCUGGGAACUGCGUUUUGAACUGGGUAACUAGAGUGUGUCAGAGGGGGGUAGGAUUCCACGUGUAGCAGUGAAAUGCGUAGAGAUGUGGAGGAAUACCGAUGGCGAAGGCAGCCCCCUGGGAUAACACUGACGUUCAUGCUCGAAAGCGUGGGUAGCAAACA
RNAcentral lists this ribosomal RNA (207 nucleotides) under uncultured bacterium. Its description in RNAcentral is "partial 16S ribosomal RNA". It matches the Rfam family "Bacterial small subunit ribosomal RNA", at positions 568 to 774 of the family's 1533-position model. The record is from RNAcentral.